UGCGGGCUGCGUGGUGCGUCGGGCCUUGUAUUCCCGGGGCCUUAUCGAUCCUCAAGGGAGCUGUCCCUGGCCGGACCCGUGGGUCCGGACAUAUGGCGCCCACCUACAUUGUAGGUUUCCCGGGAUCGAAAUGGUCUGACGGCCAAGGCGGCUCGCUC
RNAcentral lists this non-coding RNA (158 nucleotides) under Nitratireductor sp. RNAcentral describes it as "6S RNA". It matches the Rfam family "6S / SsrS RNA". Rfam says of the family: E. coli 6S RNA was the first non coding RNA to be sequenced, but its function was unknown until recently. It consists of 184 nucleotides that fold into an extended hairpin structure with a large single-stranded internal bulge. Lineage: Bacteria; Pseudomonadati; Pseudomonadota; Alphaproteobacteria; Hyphomicrobiales; Phyllobacteriaceae. The record is from RNAcentral.